CACUGCCUGAUGGAGGGGGAUAACUACUGGAAACGGUAGCUAAUACCGCAUAACGUCGCAAGACCAAAGAGGGGGACCUUCGGGCCUCUUGCCAUCGGAUGUGCCCAGAUGGGAUUAGCUUGUUGGUGGGGUAACGGCUCACCAAGGCGACGAUCCCUAGCUGGUCUGAGAGGAUGACCAGCCACACUGGAACUGAGACACGGUCCAGACUCCUACGGGAGGCAGCAGUGGGGAAUAUUGCACAAUGGGCGCAAGCCUGAUGCAGCCAUGCCGCGUGUAUGAAGAAGGCCUUCGGGUUGUAAAGUACUUUCAGCGGGGAGGAAGGGAGUAAAGUUAAUACCUUUACUCAUUGACGUUACCCGCAGAAGAAGCACCGGCUAACUCCGUGCCAGCAGCCGCGGUAAUACGGAGGGUGCAAGCGUUAAUCGGAAUUACUGGGCGUAAAGCGCACGCAGGCGGUUUGUUAAGUCAGAUGUGAAAU
This 481-nucleotide ribosomal RNA is filed under the name Escherichia coli. Its description in RNAcentral is "bacterial SSU rRNA". It matches the Rfam family "Bacterial small subunit ribosomal RNA", at positions 124 to 600 of the family's 1533-position model. The record is from RNAcentral. Lineage: Bacteria; Pseudomonadati; Pseudomonadota; Gammaproteobacteria; Enterobacterales; Enterobacteriaceae.